GGGUAGUUCUACUGCCGUAUUUUACCUUUUAGCCAUCAGCAAGCAUAGGAUCUCAUCUGGACAAGGUAGGGACCUAAAUGAAUUGAUCUAAAUGUAAAAGCAUAUGAAAAAAAAUGCAUGUUUUUUUUUUCUUUCCUAUCUAUGAAUAUGUAUAUCCUACUAAUAGAGACCACCAGUAGUUACCUCUGGUGAUUAUGAAACAGCAGGUUGAGUAAUCUCUAAAUAUCAGGAAAUGUAAAAAUCACAUGUUAUGCGUUUGGCUUAGGAAUGUGCUUUUUGUACUUCCACUUGAAUAAAGGUGUGUUUGAUACUUUGAGAA
Molecule: long non-coding RNA, 319 nt
Filed under: Bos taurus (domestic cattle)
Lineage: Eukaryota; Metazoa; Chordata; Mammalia; Artiodactyla; Bovidae
Description: long non-coding RNA NONBTAT015797
Source: RNAcentral